This 500-nucleotide ribosomal RNA is filed under the name uncultured bacterium. RNAcentral's name for it is "partial 16S ribosomal RNA". It matches the Rfam family "Bacterial small subunit ribosomal RNA", at positions 30 to 523 of the family's 1533-position model. The record is from RNAcentral.
AUUGAACGCUGGCGGAGUGCUUUACACAUGCAAGUCGAACGGCAGCACGGACUUCGGUCUGGUGGCGAGUGGCGAACGGGUGAGUAAUGUAUCGGAACGUGCCCAGUCGUGGGGGAUAACGUAGUGAAAAUUACGCUAAUACCGCAUACGAUCUAUGGAUGAAAGCGGGGGAUCGCAAGACCUCGCGCGAUUGGAGCGGCCGAUAUCAGAUUAGGUAGUUGGUGGGGUAAGGGCCCACCAAGCCAACGAUCUGUAGCUGGUCUGAGAGGACGACCAGCCACACUGGAACUGAGACACGGUCCAGACUCCUACGGGAGGCAGCAGUGGGGAAUUUUGGACAAUGGGCGAAAGCCUGAUCCAGCCAUUCCGCGUGCAGGAUGAAGGCCCUCGGGUUGUAAACUGCUUUUGUACAGAACGAAAAGGUUUCUACUAAUACUAGGAGCUCAUGACGGUACUGUAAGAAUAAGCACCGGCUAACUACGUGCCAGCAGCCGCCGCGG